UUAUGCCCUUGGCUCCAGCACAUUUCCUAGUCGGUCGCAGGCUAACGAGCUUGCCUCCCUUCCGAGAGACCACCGAAAUCAAAUCGUCAGCACAGACACUAACACGCCUAUGGAAGAGACGCGCCAGGCUUGUUGACUCAUUCUGGAAACGGUGGAGACGCGAAUACCUACUGCAGCUUCGCUCAGCGCAUGUUACAAAGCCAGGCAGAGGAAGAGGCAUCGACUUUUCCAGGAAGAGAUGGCCGAAUACGUGCUUGCAAGAUCCUUCUCCCGAACCAAAGCGAACUGCGACGACCCGUACAAGCCUUGUACCCACUCGAGCUCAGUGAGGCGCCAGCCUGUGCUAACAAUGGUGGCCGGGAAUGAGCCGGCGCUCAUUGCGGGGGAGGAUGUUGAAAGUCGCAAACGAGCAGCUAACAUUGUUGCACCUGUGGUUGGGGGACCGACGACACAAGAGAAAGAGGGAGCCGGCGAACGGACGAGAGGCGCCCCACUGCAGCACGUGCCAGCCGGCGCAGCUACCAACAACCUGAUCCGUUCCACCGCCUUUUCGGCGAACCGCCCAUUCAGUGCGAGGCGCGGGCGCCCCCGACAAGGACGAAGGCAUCGGUGCGGCCAAAAGAGAACGUGGAGUGUUUCUUCUCACUUUCCCUUCUCCUUUCUUCAAUAUCUUUUGUAAAUAAACCAGUCUCGAAACGGA
Dermacentor albipictus is the source of this 700-nucleotide long non-coding RNA. RefSeq lists it as uncharacterized. The record is from RefSeq and is a predicted model, not a curated record. Lineage: Eukaryota; Metazoa; Arthropoda; Arachnida; Ixodida; Ixodidae.